GUUUAGAGAAUUUUGGGAUUUUUGCCAAAGUGUUGGGAUUGCUUUUUGGUGGAAAUGGGAGCCUAUAUAUAGGGAUAGGAGGUGGCCGGCCUAGCUAGGGUUUUUGGGUUGAAUUUAGGUUUAAUUAGGGUAAUUAAAAAGGGAAAAUAUGGUAGAAAAGGUAGAAAACAUGGAGGAUGGCCGGCCAUGUGGUGUUUUAUGGGUUAAAGGGAUCACUUAAUUGACAAUUUAAGGGAUUAAAAAGGCAAUUAACCCCUUAAUUGGCCAUUUAUCAUGAUUUUUAGAAGGAAGGUUUUAAAGUUAUGGAAAGAAUAAAAUAAAUAGCUAAUUGAUUAGCUAAAAGAGGGAAAAAGAGGUAAGAAAUAUAUGGAAUGAAAUAGGUUUUAAGUUGAUACCUAUUUUGGGCACUUUUGACUUAGUUUAGGGAUGAUUGCCAGCUGCUUGCGCGUAGGAAUCCCAGUAUACCUCUAGGGUAUUUUUGUCUUCUUUUACCCAAGAAUCCACGUGUCACCUUGUGAUUAUUUUUGCUCCACAAAUGCCCCCACACUUGUUGGGCUGCUCGCAAGAAAUGGCAGCAGGUGUAUAGAUCUUCUUGCUUUAGGAAACUUAAGACUGCUUCCUAUUUUGAUGUUGAUUCUCUUUUUAAUAGGAAAUUAGAUCAUUCUAGGAAAGGGAAAUAAAUUUCUCUCAAAGCCUAUUUAAGUCCCUCUUAAGUGGGUUAUUAAAUCAACUUUGGAGAGCGAUUUAUUCUACCCUACAAGAGAGAGAUAACUUAGAGGAUAUUUGUUCCCCCUCCUCUAGCAAUCUUUUACAUCUUGCCUGUGCAAAGGACCGUCUUUCAUUGCUUUCUCCAUCUUCUUCGCGCCGCACCGAGGUAAGAAAAAAUUAAUUUUCCUUGUCUUGUUCUUGGAUGGCGCUACCGCGGGGCAACCAUCGGGGUAGUGCGGCACGUCGGCUGGCAUGGGCCAGGAGUCGGCUCGGCAUGGGCCGAUGAGGUAUUGUGGUAAGGACCACUACUUUAAGCUGCUCGACUUGGCUAGAACCAAGGGCAACUUGUGUGGUUGUGGCCGCAGAUUGUGGCAUUGGGGUGCAGUGUUAGGCACGUCACAUGACUCAUGUCCUUUUAGGAUUUUGGACAUGACACGAGCUAGGCCGGUGAUUGAGAGAAAUGAAGAGGUUGCGGGCCUUAUGAGCUGCUGGAAUGUUGGGUUGAACUCCUCUGCUGAGUACCACGAAUGACGUUGGCUACUUUAGCUCUUUUCGUCAGGAGAAACGUGGGCUGCUCCCAAAAGAUGAGGUGAAUAGGAUGAAGACGGAUGCAUUGGCUGGUCCAACCACUAUUGUGGAUCUUGCUGCAAGUGAAGGUGGGAAAAAAGAUAUUCCCUGCUUGCUCAAGAGAUGCCGGCUGAGAAAAAACCAAAAACUUCUUUCACUGCUCGCACGGGUUCGCCAACUGCUUCCAGGCUUGUGAUUGACUUGACUUUUUCCAAGGGGACGAAAAAUGAGGUUGCUAGAUCUGAGCAUGUGGCGACUGUCAUGUCAAGAAUGGCUAGUACGAUUGCUGAUAGGAUUGUUCGGCAUAAAGGUCCUGUCAUGCCCCUAGUGCCGAAUUUUGUACCCAGACGUCUGUUGGGAGCUAAGUCCGGUUCACCUUUAGAGAGGCUUGCUAUUAUGAAAAGCGAUAAGGUGGAAUCUGCUGCUAAAGUGGCGCCAAGGCCCAUUCCUUAUGCUGCUGAGAUUGAUUCGCUUGCUGGGAAUGAGGAGACUGCUCGCGUAGGCAGCUGUGAGAAAUCCACUAAGCUUGCUUCUAGGGAGACUGCUGAGAUCUAUGUGUUUUUGAAACCAGCUCUGCUUGAAAACAUGGACGCUUGUGCCAAGUUUGUUGAUGGUGUCAGAAAGGUUGUUUGCCCAAGCUCGUUUGCGAAGCAUACGACCCAAUAUAGAAGAACUGCUCUGCUUGCUAUGAUGCAGAUAUAGCAAGGCUGCUAAGGAGAUGGCAAAUACAAUGGCAGAUUCUGAGCUCGUUGCUUUGAAGGGGUCUAAUAUUUCUACCCCCUCUUCGUUGCAGCUUGAGACCACUCGCCAAGACAUCAUUGACUUGAAGACUAGGUUUGACACGAUCCAAGUUAAGCAUGAAAGUGCAGAGAAGGAGAUUAGAUGUCACAUACCUUAGAUUCAAGAUCUUAAGCAUGUCGUUUCUAAGCUUCGUUCUACUAAAAAAGAUGAAGAGUUGAUUGCUGCUUAUAACCAAGUGAUCCACUUCAAGAGAAUCAUCGAUAGGCUUGAACCCUAAGUGUUGGAACUUCAAGGCGUACUGAAGAUCAACGAAAGUCUGAAGAAGGAAGUGGAUGAGCUGCAGAGCAUCCAUGUUGAUCUGCUCGAGGAGGAUGAGCAACUGAAAGGUGAAAAGGCUGGGCUUGGGGUUUCGAGACCUUCUCUAUUUCUCCGGAAGACUUGCUUGAUUUUACUUUUGAGGCUUCCAUUAGUGAAGUAGUUGGAGAAGUUAGUGCCCAAGAUGGGGAAGCCGGGGGUGAAGCCCCGGAUGAUAUCGCUGCUAAGAGCGUCACGGUUGCUGAAGGUGUGGCGACUGAGUAGUCAUGGGAUGUCCAAGUUGCUAUAGUUUUCUAGGUAGCCUUUAUGAUUUUAUUUGUUUUUCUUGUAGCUCUUGUUUUGCUUGAACUCCUUCGGCCUUUGCUAAUUGUUUAUAAACAUGCUUCAUUCGCUUUUCUUCAUCUUUGCUUCUUUUGUUCAUGCCCUAACCUUUAGACUUAAUAGACUAGUGGCAAGCAUGCUACUUUUUUAUAAGCAGACAAGCUCGCGUAGCCUAUGCAGCUGUAGGUGUUGGUGUAGAACGUUGCAAAGUUGUUAGCCAUAGGGUUGGCAGCCGGAUGCCUUACUUACAGAAGCAGACAAGUCCGCGUAACCACUAGGCUGUUAACCUUGGCUUUCUCCAAUUCCGUAGGUUGCGUAGCAAGUAUCACAACAUUUUAGGACUUGGUGUAGGUUGUUCCACGCUUAGCAGAGGUGAAGCUUAUCGACUACGUAGCAUGUCGGCAGUGGAUAAAACUUCGUAUAUGCGCGCUAGCUUGUUUAACCUUUCACAAGAAUGUGCGGUUGUAUAAGUUUAGCACUGCUUUACUGCUCAAAGGGCAAGCCGUAGGCAGUAUUCCGAAAUCCGUAGGCUACCUUAGUGCAUUCGGUAGCAGCUUUAGGGUCCCAAGGCAGACGUCUGUAGGGCGUACUACGUAAUGUGCCCCCUCAAUCUCUAGGGCCCGAUUCCCCACGGAUUAGGCCAAAAGACCCAAAAUCCUUCAGUUAGCUAAGCCUUGAAAAAGACCAUUAUGGCUACUUCUAGGAAUCCCGGUGCAAGCCAUCGUGCAUCUAGCUAUACUAGGGUAGCCAGGCUCAUCCACGUCUGGAUAUUCGGAGUGUAAAGUUUAUCCUCCCGUCUUAGAGAGCUGACCUAUAUGGGUGUCGGGGAAUUGGUUUACCCUCUCGCACUGGAGAGCAUAGUUGGUCCCUCGGGGGGCGCAAUUCCUGCAAUGAGUCCCUAAGAAGGGCGCAGUCUUCUUUUGAAGUGCAGGAGUGAUUAGUUGUUGUAAGCAUGCAGCCGAGCUAAGUUUUGAUUACUUUUAAAUUCCUCAUUGAAAAACGAGUGAAACGAACGUGAACUUAGCUGUAAGGUAGGAACUGCAUAAUAACUGGAUAGUCCUCAGCUUGUGUGGUGGUGCCCAUCGAGCUUCUUGAGUCUUCAGACUUUGAUGUAGUGGGAGGUCACACAUGGUACCCCUUCAGAUUGUAGACGCUCUACUGCUUUUUGAUCUUUUUGUCGUUUCAUGGUGGUGAGGGUGUAAUUACUCUUGCUGCCUACUCUGUUGAUCUUGUAUGGUCCUUCCUUUAUGGAAUCCAUCUUUUUAGAGCCUUCUCUUUGGGCAGUGAUGAAAGCUUUUCUUAGGACUAGAUCUCCGGACUAGAACUGCCAGAUUUUAGCCAUUUUGUUGUAGCUGGAGAUGAGCUACUGCUGGUAGGCUGCAAUGCGGGUACUGGUCUGCUCACGCUUCUUCUCUGCCAGAUCUAAGCUUGUGACCAUCUAUUUACUGUUCAGCUCAAUGCCUGGUAGUAGAGCGGUGAUACUUGGCUUGAUGACAUUGGGAUGAAUGAUUGCUUCCGAACCAAAUGCCUAAGAGAAAUGAGUCUCACUGGUUGCUCGUUUUUUGGUGGUGCGAUAUACUCAUAGACAUCCAGGGAGUUCGUCUGGCCAUUCUUCCUUCUUGUUGGUGAAGGAUUUCUUGAGGCAGUCGAGGAUCAUUUUGUUGGAUACUUCGACCUGCCCAUUACUUUGAGGAUAUCUCGGAAUGGACAUGUGCUGCUUGAUGCCAUAUUCUUGGAAGAACUUCUCCAAUGCCUCAAGUUGCUUGCGUACUUUCUCUAGGUAUUGCGCCAUCCUCUGAUGUUUUGCCGUGUACUCCCCAGUAGUCUAGCUGGUGAUUAGCUGGGAAUCAGAAUGAAUUGCGAGCUUCUUCACUACCAAGUCUUUUGCCAUUCAGAGGCCUGCUAGUAAGGCAUCGUACUAUGCUUCGUUGUUAGAUGCUUUGAAGCUUAGAGUGAUUGCCUUCUCGAGCAUUGAAUCGUCUGGGGUGACAAGAACCACGGCUGCUCGCGAGCGUUUGUAGUUGGAUGCACCGUUGACAUGCAAAUGCUAGAAAUCUCCAUUGAGGGAGUAAGUGCGGCUAAAGUGUGCUCGACUGCCUUCGGGGCAUCGUUGGGCUACUUUGUUGCGUUGUCAAGGCUAGGCGUGAAAGCACGGCAAGGAGCCGUGGAGCUGGGGCCAUGUUACAUGUAGCAAGAGAUGCUUAACUUUCGAUAUUGGGCCACUCUAGAGUUGAAUAAUGGAGCAAGGGUCGGCUAGGGCCUUGUGACACGUGGCAGGAGGUAGUGCUCAACUGCCGGUACAUGUUGCUCUUAUGUUGAAUCUUUUGGGUCGAUAAGGACAAAACUUGUUUCUGAGUGUUCUUUCCAAUGUUCGUCUGCCCUUGGUGUGUCUUUUGGGCAAAGUUGUUGUGUUUGUUAGAAAACUUUGCAUCCGCUAAGGUCCACUCCUUUAUCGUUGCGUGUCUAGAUUCGGCAGAAUGGUGCAUCAUGAUGAUGACUGCAUGCGUUUGAAGGUAAAACUUGAGCUUUUAGGUUACAACAACUAUCACCAAAGGUAGCUUUUAAAUUUCUGAUAACAUCAAUGAGAGCUUUUAAACUGUGGAAUACAACUGAUAGCAUCGAAUAGAGCUUUUAAACUGUGGAAUAUAGGUCGUCGGGCCCCCAGCUCUUCUCACAUGAUGGUAGAGCUUAUUGCUGGUCUAGAUAUCGUCAAACAUGUGAAUAAGUCCUCCGCUACUUCCGGUUUGGAUAGUAGGGAUAUGACGUCGAGUACUUAUUCAAGUCUUUGAAUGUGCAUUGGUGAGCCUCGUCCCAAAGUGCAUGAUUCUCUGCUAGAACGAAAGAGUCUGCCAGAGUUAGAUCUUCUUUCAUGAUCAAUUUUCUGAAUAGUGGGUGGUCUGCUGGAAGUCUUUUUUGGAAGGCUGCUCUAACUAUCGAGUCAUUGCAUCCGACUAUCCUUGCCUUCUCUACUUUGAACCUCCUCACAUAGUCGCGAAGUGACUCCUUUGGGUUCUUCUUGACGUCGAACAAAUGGUUAGACUUCUUUUUGAUCGAGCGAUAAGAUGAAUAUUCUUUGGUGAAAACCAAAGAAAGUUCGUAGAAACUCCGGAUGGAUUGUGGCAGCAAGGUGUAGAACUAAUCUUGAGCCUCGCCUUGUAGAGUGGUGGUGAAUAUCUUGCACAUGAGAUCAUCAUUGUUUCGAUAAAGGAUCAUUACGCGUCGGUGGCGCUUUAAGUGUCUCUCCGGGUCUUCAUCCCCUUUGAAAGAUGUGAAAUAUGGCAUGCUGAACUUGCGUGGAGGCUCUGCCUCAUCGAUAUCGUCCAUGAAGGGUGACCUGCUUAUGUUGUUCAUGUUCCAUCGUAGUGCCUCAUCGGUAACCUCGUUGCGUUGGAAAUUAUGCAAUCACUUGGUCAAUAGUCUCUCUACUUCUUUUUGAAUUUGUCUCUACUUCUUUCUGAAUUUGUCUUUGUUGGGAUAACGGAGCUCUCGGCUGCCCUCAGCCAUGACUUGCUGGUCUAGGUUGCUCUUCCAUGUGUUUGGCUCGUCUAUACCACGGAUGCAGUGCAUGUGGUACAUUUCUAGCAGGCGAACGAGUUCUUCGCAAGCUACUAGUUGAACUUAAGCUGGAUUGAGUGACUGCUUCUCUCCGUCCGUCGUGCUGCCACUCCGAUGUGAGGUGGAGGAUGCUCCUUGCGGGCUUAGCCACGAAUGAACACUUUGCCCGGAAGGUUGCUCAUGUUGACUAUCGGAGUGUGACCCCAACCGUGAAUGUAUACUCAUCCGUGGGCCUAGUCGAGAGUGCACAUUCCUCCGCUUGCUAAGAUAGGAGUAUACGCUAUGUUGGGGGACCCAAUCAGGAAUGUACACUGCCCGAACACUCGGCUCGUGACUGGUCGAGUGGCUGCUUGCCGGGACGCUGCUGGAAAGGUUCGUCUGCCCUUGUCCUAUUUCGAGAUACCUCAUCCGGGGCACGUUGGAUCCUGAUGCGUUGCAAAAGUUGAUUCACCAAGGUUGUUUGUUGUGCAAGGGUGCUCGUCAACUCUAUGACUUGUCGAGACAAGUGUUGUUCGCCAUUUGGAUUGGAAGAGCUUUGAAGGAAUAUGCCUCUUUGGGCAGUGGAAGGGUGGUAGAUUCUGUGCGUGAAAUUUGAGUUAGGAAAUGUCAAAUCCGUGAAAAAAUAUAGUGAGAAUGCCCCCGGCUCGAUGGUAGGUCCGGAUGGUUGAGAUAGUCUUGGGCUGACUUGGACUGCUUGGAAAGCCACGGGAACAGGCUGGGCCACGAGAGCAGGUUAGGCCAUGAGAGUGGGCUGCUCGACGGGAGCAGGUUGGACCACGGGAGUGGGUUGCUCGUCGGAAGUAAACUGGGAUGUGAGAGCAGGUUGGGCCGUGAGAGCAGGCUGGGCCGCGAGAGUGGGCUGCUCGUCAGGAGCAGGCUGGACUAUUGGAGCAGGCUGCUUAGCGCAUGAUGCAUGCGAAUGCGAGGCUUGGGCUCGGACGCGUGCAAGCUUGGAUGACACGGCUUGGGCUGUGGCCUUGGUGCCGUGAGCCUUGGAUGGCACGGCUCGGGCAGUGGUGAAGGCACCAUGGACCUCGCCACAGGUGGCUACCGAGGUAGCCACCGUGGUGGUUCCCGUGGUGGAAAUUCGUGGUGGUGGUGCUGCUCCACUUAUUGUCGCAUUUAGCCUCACGGUUCUCCGCAAUCCCAUUUCUUGAACAUUAGAAUUUUCACUUGUGGAAUUUUCCAAAUUUCUAGCCAUUAUAUUUUUCUUAUACGUUUUAUCAAAGAACCUUUGCAAGUAAAAAAUUCUAAUAAUAAGAAUGUAUGAAAAAUAUUCAAAUGGACUAGAAAAUAAAGAAAAAUCCUUUUUGUGCGAGAGUCUUCUACGAGUAUGGAUUUCAACUCUCAAUGAAAGCACCAAUUUGUGGUUGCAAAUUUCUUCCUUCUUGAUCUUGGACAAUUUUGCACCUACAAAACAAUUAACAUCUUAGGUUAAGGCCAAGAGCCUCACGCGCCCACGAUGAAAGGGGGGGCUUUGGUCGAAGAACCUCCGAUGCCAAAGUUAGAAUUUAGAGAGAAAGACUGUUUAGAGAAUUUUGGGAUUUUUGCCAAAGUGUUGGGAUUGCUUUUGGUGGAAAUGGGAGCCUAUAUAUAGGGAUAGGAGGUGGCCGGCCUAGCUAGGGUUUUUGGGUUGAAUUUAGGUUUAAUUAGGGUAAUUAGAAAGGGAAAAUAUGGUAGAAAAGGUAGAAAACAUGGAGGAUGGCCGGCCAUGUGGUGUUUUAUGGGUUAAAGGGAUCACUUAAUUGACAAUUUAAGGGAUUAA
RNAcentral lists this long non-coding RNA (7972 nucleotides) under Malus domestica (apple). RNAcentral's name for it is "long non-coding RNA (MDOM_LNC002767)". The record is from RNAcentral. Lineage: Eukaryota; Viridiplantae; Streptophyta; Magnoliopsida; Rosales; Rosaceae.